RNAcentral lists this ribosomal RNA (301 nucleotides) under uncultured bacterium. RNAcentral describes it as "partial 16S ribosomal RNA". It matches the Rfam family "Bacterial small subunit ribosomal RNA", at positions 509 to 808 of the family's 1533-position model. The record is from RNAcentral.
CAGUAGCCGCGGUAAUACGAAGGGUGCAAGCGUUACUCGGAAUUACUGGGCGUAAAGCGUGCGUAGGUGGUGGUUUAAGUCCGUUGUGAAAGCCCUGGGCUCAACCUGGGAAUUGCAGUGGAUACUGGGUCACUAGAGUGUGGUAGAGGAUAGUGGAAUUUCCGGUGUAGCAGUGAAAUGCGUAGAGAUCGGAAGGAACAUCUGUGGCGAAGGCGACUAUCUGGGCCAACACUGACACUGAGGCACGAAAGCGUGGGGAGCAAACAGGAUUAGAGACCCCCGUAGUCCCUGUCUCUUAACA